This 253-nucleotide ribosomal RNA is filed under the name uncultured bacterium. Its description in RNAcentral is "partial 16S ribosomal RNA". It matches the Rfam family "Bacterial small subunit ribosomal RNA", at positions 524 to 776 of the family's 1533-position model. The record is from RNAcentral.
UACGUAGGGGGCAAGCGUUGUCCGGAAUCACUGGGCGUAAAGGGCGCGUAGGCGGCCUGAUAAGUAGGGGGUGAAAUCCUGCGGCUUAACCGCAGGGCUGCCUUCUAAACUGUCAGGCUGGAGCACAGUAGAGGCAGGUGGAAUUCCCGGUGUAGCGGUGGAAUGCGUAGAGAUCGGGAAGAACAUCAGUGGCGAAGGCGGCCUGCUGGGCUGUUGCUGACGCUGAGGCGCGACAGCGUGGGGAGCAAACAGG